UUCUAUUAGUACUCCUAAAAACCAGGAUGAACCUAUGGAUAUAGCUUUUGUUCGUGGGCCUCUUAAGCCAGAGGAAAAGACUAGACGCCGGUUAAACAACUUGUGCCUUUAUUGUGCCUCCAAGGACCACACCGUAAAGGAAUGCCCAACCCUGCAAAAGUCAAGAAAGGUGGGAUCAUCAGGUGGUAUCCGCGGUAGCGGUGAUUGAUUCAGGAGCCACAAACAGCUUUAUAGAUUCCACUUUUGUGCACUUGUAUAAUAUUCCACUAAUAAAGAAAACUGUUUCACUCGCAA
Molecule: long non-coding RNA, 294 nt
Organism: Bombina bombina (fire-bellied toad)
Lineage: Eukaryota; Metazoa; Chordata; Amphibia; Anura; Bombinatoridae
Exons: 2
Source: RefSeq, a predicted model, not a curated record